AUAAAACCUAUGAAGAGAAUAGUAGCUUAAUGGAAUUUUUAGAGAGUCGAUGGUUGGUGUAAAUCGAUAAUUAUCAUUUUGUGAAUCCACCUCAGAGGGAUUGCGAUGAGCAAUACGGUAUAAUAACCGUUAUUUUAAUUAAGAGGAUCUUUUUUGAUCAAUUAGGGUGGCAACGCGGAGCCUUUCGUCCCUUUA
RNAcentral lists this non-coding RNA (195 nucleotides) under Clostridium pasteurianum. RNAcentral describes it as "T-box sequence". It matches the Rfam family "T-box leader". Rfam says of the family: Uncharged tRNA acts as the effector for transcription antitermination of genes in the T-box leader family. T-boxes are found upstream of many aminoacyl-tRNA synthetase genes and some amino acid biosynthetic genes usually in Gram-positive bacteria. The record is from RNAcentral. Lineage: Bacteria; Bacillati; Bacillota; Clostridia; Eubacteriales; Clostridiaceae.